Molecule: ribosomal RNA, 420 nt
Filed under: Adenomera andreae group sp. ABGD cluster 5
Lineage: Eukaryota; Metazoa; Chordata; Amphibia; Anura; Leptodactylidae
Description: partial large subunit ribosomal RNA
Rfam family: Bacterial large subunit ribosomal RNA
Source: RNAcentral
UUUGCUUUAAAUAAAAGGUCCAGCCUGCCCAGUGACACUGUUCAACGGCCGCGGUAUCCUAACCGUGCGAAGGUAGCGUAAUCACUUGUUCUUUAAAUGAGGACUAGUAUGAAAGGCACCACGAGAGUCAUACUGUCUCCUCUUUCCAAUCAGUUAAACUAAUCUCCCCGUGAAGAAGCGGGGAUAAUUAUAUAAGACGAGAAGACCCUAUGGAGCUUUAAACGAAUAACACUUGCCCGUCACUUUUAAAUUUCAGAAAAACCUACUACCUUGGCAUCAUACUUAUAAGUUUUUGAUUGGGGUGAUCACGGAACAAAAAAUAACCUCCGCAAUGAAAGACUCUCCAUUUCUAAGUCAAGAACCACAACUCUACACCUCAACAAAUUGACACCAAUUGACCCAAUUUAUUGAUCAAUGAAC